Molecule: ribosomal RNA, 2900 nt
Filed under: Klebsiella pneumoniae
Lineage: Bacteria; Pseudomonadati; Pseudomonadota; Gammaproteobacteria; Enterobacterales; Enterobacteriaceae
Description: 23S ribosomal RNA
Rfam family: Bacterial large subunit ribosomal RNA
Source: RNAcentral
UUAAGCGACUAAGCGUACACGGUGGAUGCCCUGGCAGUCAGAGGCGAUGAAGGACGUGCUAAUCUGCGAAAAGCGUCGGUAAGGUGAUAUGAACCGUUAUAACCGGCGAUGUCCGAAUGGGGAAACCCAGUGUGAUUCGUCACACUAUCGUUAACUGAAUACAUAGGUUAACGAGGCGAACCGGGGGAACUGAAACAUCUAAGUACCCCGAGGAAAAGAAAUCAACCGAGAUUCCCCCAGUAGCGGCGAGCGAACGGGGAGCAGCCCAGAGUCUGAAUCAGCUUGUGUGUUAGUGGAACGGUCUGGAAAGUCCGACGGUACAGGGUGAUAGUCCCGUACACCAAAAUGCACAGGUUGUGAACUCGAAGAGUAGGGCGGGACACGUGGUAUCCUGUCUGAAUAUGGGGGGACCAUCCUCCAAGGCUAAAUACUCCUGACUGACCGAUAGUGAACCAGUACCGUGAGGGAAAGGCGAAAAGAACCCCGGCGAGGGGAGUGAAAAAGAACCUGAAACCGUGUACGUACAAGCAGUGGGAGCACCUUCGGGUGUGACUGCGUACCUUUUGUAUAAUGGGUCAGCGACUUAUAUUCUGUAGCAAGGUUAACCGUAUAGGGGAGCCGCAGGGAAACCGAGUCUUAACUGGGCGUUAAGUUGCAGGGUAUAGACCCGAAACCCGGUGAUCUAGCCAUGGGCAGGUUGAAGGUUGGGUAACACUAACUGGAGGACCGAACCGACUAAUGUUGAAAAAUUAGCGGAUGACUUGUGGCUGGGGGUGAAAGGCCAAUCAAACCGGGAGAUAGCUGGUUCUCCCCGAAAGCUAUUUAGGUAGCGCCUCGUGAAUUCAUCUUCGGGGGUAGAGCACUGUUUCGGCUAGGGGGUCAUCCCGACUUACCAACCCGAUGCAAACUACGAAUACCGAAGAAUGUUAUCACGGGAGACACACGGCGGGUGCUAACGUCCGUCGUGAAGAGGGAAACAACCCAGACCGCCAGCUAAGGUCCCAAAGUCAUGGUUAAGUGGGAAACGAUGUGGGAAGGCACAGACAGCCAGGAUGUUGGCUUAGAAGCAGCCAUCAUUUAAAGAAAGCGUAAUAGCUCACUGGUCGAGUCGGCCUGCGCGGAAGAUGUAACGGGGCUAAACCAUGCACCGAAGCUGCGGCAGCGACACUAUGUGUUGUUGGGUAGGGGAGCGUUCUGUAAGCCUGCGAAGGUGUGCUGUGAGGCAUGCUGGAGGUAUCAGAAGUGCGAAUGCUGACAUAAGUAACGAUAAAGCGGGUGAAAAGCCCGCUCGCCGGAAGACCAAGGGUUCCUGUCCAACGUUAAUCGGGGCAGGGUGAGUCGACCCCUAAGGCGAGGCCGAAAGGCGUAGUCGAUGGGAAACAGGUUAAUAUUCCUGUACUUGGUGUUACUGCGAAGGGGGGACGGAGAAGGCUAUGUUAGCCGGGCGACGGUUGUCCCGGUUUAAGCAUGUAGGCUGGUUAUCCAGGCAAAUCCGGAUAAUCAAGGCUGAGGUGUGAUGACGAGGCACUACGGUGCUGAAGUAACAAAUGCCCUGCUUCCAGGAAAAGCCUCUAAGCAUCAGGUAACAUCAAAUCGUACCCCAAACCGACACAGGUGGUCAGGUAGAGAAUACCAAGGCGCUUGAGAGAACUCGGGUGAAGGAACUAGGCAAAAUGGUGCCGUAACUUCGGGAGAAGGCACGCUGGUGUGUAGGUGAAGUCCCUGCGGAUGGAGCUGAGACCAGUCGAAGAUACCAGCUGGCUGCAACUGUUUAUUAAAAACACAGCACUGUGCAAACACGAAAGUGGACGUAUACGGUGUGACGCCUGCCCGGUGCCGGAAGGUUAAUUGAUGGGGUUAUCCGUAAGGAGAAGCUCUUGAUCGAAGCCCCGGUAAACGGCGGCCGUAACUAUAACGGUCCUAAGGUAGCGAAAUUCCUUGUCGGGUAAGUUCCGACCUGCACGAAUGGCGUAAUGAUGGCCAGGCUGUCUCCACCCGAGACUCAGUGAAAUUGAACUCGCUGUGAAGAUGCAGUGUACCCGCGGCAAGACGGAAAGACCCCGUGAACCUUUACUAUAGCUUGACACUGAACAUUGAGCCUUGAUGUGUAGGAUAGGUGGGAGGCUUUGAAGCGUGGACGCCAGUCUGCGUGGAGCCAACCUUGAAAUACCACCCUUUAAUGUUUGAUGUUCUAACGUUGGCCCCUGACCGGGGUUGCGGACAGUGUCUGGUGGGUAGUUUGACUGGGGCGGUCUCCUCCCAAAGCGUAACGGAGGAGCACGAAGGUUAGCUAAUCCUGGUCGGACAUCAGGAGGUUAGUGCAAUGGCAUAAGCUAGCUUGACUGCGAGCGUGACGGCGCGAGCAGGUGCGAAAGCAGGUCAUAGUGAUCCGGUGGUUCUGAAUGGAAGGGCCAUCGCUCAACGGAUAAAAGGUACUCCGGGGAUAACAGGCUGAUACCGCCCAAGAGUUCAUAUCGACGGCGGUGUUUGGCACCUCGAUGUCGGCUCAUCACAUCCUGGGGCUGAAGUAGGUCCCAAGGGUAUGGCUGUUCGCCAUUUAAAGUGGUACGCGAGCUGGGUUUAGAACGUCGUGAGACAGUUCGGUCCCUAUCUGCCGUGGGCGCUGGAGAAUUGAGGGGGGCUGCUCCUAGUACGAGAGGACCGGAGUGGACGCAUCACUGGUGUUCGGGUUGUCAUGCCAAUGGCACUGCUCGGUAGCUAAAUGCGGAAGAGAUAAGUGCUGAAAGCAUCUAAGCACGAAACUUGCCCCGAGAUGAGUUCUCCCUGAGACUUUAAGUCUCCUGAAGGAACGUUGAAGACGACGACGUUGAUAGGCCGGGUGUGUAAGCGCAGCGAUGCGUUGAGCUAACCGGUACUAAUGAACCGUGAGGCUUAACCUU